UUCUUUUUCUCUCUGUCUCUCUCUUUCUCUCUCGCGAUAGAAGUGCCGAAUCGACAAAGGAAGAAGAUGGAAUCGAAGGAUAUUGAAUCAGAGGAGGUUCGGGUCGGAGGUGAGGCGUAGCAGAGGAGAUUGAAUCAGCGGAGGAGAUUUCGCGAUUAGGUACAGAGCGUUUGAUGAGUAUGAAGGGAUAGAAGUAGCAUGGAACCAAGUAAUGCUUCGAAAUUUCACAAGGAACCCUGAGGAAUUAGAGAAGUUCUUCAGAGAGAUUCAUCUUCUCAAGAAUUUGAAUCUCUCAAAACAUUAUGAAAUUCUACACUUCUUGGGUUGAUACUAACAAUUUAUCAAUCAAUUUCGUCACUGAGCUCUUCACCUCUGGUACUCUCAGACAGUAAGUGGUUUGUUCCUUAGACAACCUCUGAUUGAUCAGUAUGAGUCAUCGUCACAGAUCUGUGAGAUUGAUCUUUUCGCUAAUGAUGAUGAGGACCAUGUUGAUAUUUCGAUUAAAGGGAAGAGAAAUGAUAGUGAUGGGAUAUUUUUGAGGAUCAGAAUCUCUGAUGCAGAAGGACGAAUAAGGAACAUUUACUUCCCUUUUGAGACAGCUAUUGAUACUGCAUUGAGUGUAGCAAAAGAGAUGGUAUCAGAGCUAGACAUAACAUAUCAAGAUGUUGCUAAAAUCGCUGAGAUGAUCGAUUCAGAGAUUGCUGCGUUGGUACCUGAUUGGAAAACUGAUACAGAAUGUUCUCAAAAUGUGAUCAAAAACAAUAACAAUGCAGGGUUCUGUGGAGAUUGUGCUUCAAACGGGUAUAUACAAGAAGAGACUGUAUCAUCAUCAGGAGAGAAACUGGUUUGUUGCUGUAAUUUUGGAUCAAAGCUAUUCUAGGUGGUUGUUUUAUUUCUCUCUUUGUUGUGAUUGUGAAUGCUAGUUGUUCCUUGUAUAAGCUUCAACAUAUGACAAUAUUUGGAAAUUGAACAACUCAAUAUUACUAUCAAGAUUACAAUUAAUCUUUUUCUA
This is a non-coding RNA of Camelina sativa (false flax), 1012 nucleotides long. The record is from RefSeq and is a predicted model, not a curated record. NCBI's taxonomy places the organism in Eukaryota, Viridiplantae, Streptophyta, Magnoliopsida, Brassicales, Brassicaceae.